CCUACGGGAGGCUGCAGUGAGGAAUAUUGGUCAAUGGACGGAAGUCUGAACCAGCCAUGCCGCGUGCAGGAAGACGGCUCUAUGAGUUGUAAACUGCUUUUGUACAAGGGUAAACCUGAAUACGUGUAUUCAGCUGAAAGUACUGUACGAAUAAGGAUCGGCUAACUCCGUGCCAGCAGCCGCGGUAAUACGGAGGAUCCAAGCGUUAUCCGGAUUUAUUGGGGUUAAAGGGUGCGUAGGCGGAUUGAUAAGUUAGAGGUGAAAUGUCCGAGCUUAACUCGGGAACUGCCUCUAAUACUGUUGAUCUAGAGAGUAGAUGCGGUAGGCGGAAUGUAUGGUGUAGCGGUGAAAUGCUUAGAGAUCAUACAGAACACCGAUUGCGAAGGCAGCUUACCAAUCUAUAUCUGACGUUGAGGCACGAAAGCGUGGGGAGCGAACAGGAUUAGAUACCCCGGUAGUC
This 460-nucleotide ribosomal RNA is filed under the name uncultured bacterium. RNAcentral's name for it is "partial 16S ribosomal RNA". It matches the Rfam family "Bacterial small subunit ribosomal RNA", at positions 338 to 795 of the family's 1533-position model. The record is from RNAcentral.